CAGUCGCCACGGGAAUACGGAGGGUGCGAGCGUUAAUAGGAUUUACUGGGCGUAAAGCGUGCGUAGGCGGCUAAUUGAGUCGGAUGUGAAAUCCCCGAGCUUAUCUUGGGAAUUGCAUUCGAUACUGGUUAGCUAGAGUGUGGGAGAGGAUGGUAGAAUUCCAGGUGUAGCGGUGAAAUGCGUAGAGAUCUGGAGGAAUACCGAUGGCGAAGGCAGCCAUCUGGCCUAACACUGACGCUGAGGUACGAAAGCAUGGGGAGCAAACAGGAUUAGAUACCCGCGUAGUCCCUGUCUCUUAUAC
Molecule: ribosomal RNA, 301 nt
Filed under: uncultured bacterium
Lineage: Bacteria
Description: partial 16S ribosomal RNA
Rfam family: Bacterial small subunit ribosomal RNA
Source: RNAcentral